This 254-nucleotide ribosomal RNA is filed under the name uncultured bacterium. Its description in RNAcentral is "partial 16S ribosomal RNA". It matches the Rfam family "Bacterial small subunit ribosomal RNA", at positions 524 to 776 of the family's 1533-position model. The record is from RNAcentral.
UACAGAGGGUGCGAGCGUUGUUCGGAAUUACUGGGCGUAAAGAGCGCGCAGGCGGUCGAAUAAGUCGAAUGUGAAAGCCCCCGGCUUAACUGGGGAGGGUCAUUCGAUACUGCUCGACUUGAAGGCAGGAGAGGGUAGUGGAAUUCCCGGUGUAGUGGUGAAAUGCGUAGAUAUCGGGAGGAACACCAGUGGCGAAGGCGACUACCUGGCCUGUUUCUUGACGCUGAGGCGCGAAAGCUAGGGGAGCAAACGGG